UACGAAGGGGCUAGCGUUGCUCGGAAUCACUGGGCGUAAAGCGCACGUAGGCGGAUUGCUAAGUCAGGGGUGAAAUCCUGGAGCUCAACUCCAGAACUGCCUUUGAUACUGGCGAUCUUGAGUCCGGGAGAGGUGAGUGGAACUGCGAGUGUAGAGGUGAAAUUCGUAGAUAUUCGCAGGAACACCAGUGGCGAAGGCGGCUCACUGGUCCGAUACUGACGCUGAGGUGCGAAAGCGUGGGGAGCAAACAGGG
RNAcentral lists this ribosomal RNA (253 nucleotides) under uncultured bacterium. RNAcentral describes it as "partial 16S ribosomal RNA". It matches the Rfam family "Bacterial small subunit ribosomal RNA", at positions 524 to 777 of the family's 1533-position model. The record is from RNAcentral.